This 347-nucleotide long non-coding RNA is filed under the name Homo sapiens (human). Its description in RNAcentral is "HSALNT0401072". Lineage: Eukaryota; Metazoa; Chordata; Mammalia; Primates; Hominidae. The record is from RNAcentral.
CAUCAGUCAGGGGAGGAGCCAAGAUGGCUGAAUAGGAACAGCUCCGGUCUACAGCUCCCAGCGUGAGCGACGCAGAAGACGGGUGAUUUCUGCAUUUCCAUCUGAGGUACCGGGUUCAUCUCACUAGGGAGUGCCAGACAGUGGGCGCAGGUGCAAAGAGGUUGCAAUUGGUGAGUUCUGUUUGCAAAAGACCAACCACCUGGAAAUGCAAGCGUGGAAGCCAUGAGAGUGCCAAAAAAUGUGGAAGAUGGAGGCAGAGAGAACCAGACUUGAAUCCUGGCCCCACCUCUCACCCACACUCCCUGAACCUCAAGUUUUGCAUCUAUAAAACUGUGGUGAUAAUAAAA